AUAUCUCUCUGUACGGGAAGGAUGAGAAGCUUCGACUAAGGUUCGAUUCGAGCGUCAGCGAGAAAGCGUUGCCGCAGGCAACGACCCGAAGGGCGAAGCGCGCAGCGCUG
RNAcentral lists this small RNA (110 nucleotides) under Salmonella enterica. RNAcentral describes it as "partial RtT sRNA". It matches the Rfam family "RtT RNA", at positions 1 to 108 of the family's 130-position model. Rfam says of the family: This family represents a bacterial cis-regulatory element known as RtT RNA. The exact function of RtT is unknown although it is thought that it may be involved in changing the cellular response in relation to amino acid starvation. Lineage: Bacteria; Pseudomonadati; Pseudomonadota; Gammaproteobacteria; Enterobacterales; Enterobacteriaceae. RNAcentral also lists the same sequence under 2 other names. The record is from RNAcentral.